AGAUUGAACGCUGGCGGCAGGCCUAACACAUGCAAGUCGAGCGGUAGAGAGGUGCUUGCAUCUCUUGAGAGCGGCGGACGGGCGAGUAAUUCCUAGGAAUCUGCCUAGUGGUGGGGGAUAACGUUCGGAAACGGACGCUAAUACCGCGUACGUCCUACGGGAGAAAGCGGGGGACCUUCGGGCCUCGCGCCAUUAGAUGAGCCUAGGUCGGAUUAGCUAGUUGGUGAGGUAAUGGCUCACCAAGGCGACGAUCCGUAACUGGUCUGAGAGGAUGAUCAGUCACACUGGAACUGAGACACGGUCCAGACUCCUACGGAGCAGCAGUGGGAAUAUGGACAAGUGGGACGAAAG
RNAcentral lists this ribosomal RNA (351 nucleotides) under uncultured soil bacterium. RNAcentral describes it as "bacterial SSU rRNA". It matches the Rfam family "Bacterial small subunit ribosomal RNA", at positions 26 to 381 of the family's 1533-position model. The record is from RNAcentral.